Molecule: ribosomal RNA, 301 nt
Filed under: uncultured bacterium
Lineage: Bacteria
Description: partial 16S ribosomal RNA
Rfam family: Bacterial small subunit ribosomal RNA
Source: RNAcentral
CAGCGCCGCGGGAAUACGUAGGUGGCAAGCGUUGUCCGGAUUUAUUGGGCGUAAAGCGAGCGCAGGCGGUCAAUUAAGUCUGAUGUGAAAGCCCCCGGCUCAACCGGGGAGGGUCAUUGGAAACUGGUUGACUUGAGUGCAGAAGAGGAGAGUGGAAUUCCAUGUGUAGCGGUGAAAUGCGUAGAUAUAUGGAGGAACACCAGUGGCGAAGGCGACUCUCUGGCCUGUAACUGACGCUGAGGCUCGAAAGCGUGGGUAGCAAACAGGAUUAGAUACCCCCGUAGUCCCUGUCUCUUAUACC